ACCCUGGAUAUUAAAGUCUCACUGUGGACCGGUAGAAGAAAACACAGCUCUUUUGAAUAGUCACAGUAAUACUUCCCCUUAAGCUCCAUUUAAAACAAUAGCUUGUUAAAUAACAGAUCACCAGAUUUUGACCAUUUAAAACAAUAGCUUGUUAAAUAACAGAUCACCAGAUUUUGACCAUUUAAAACAAUAGCUUGUUAAAUAACAGAUCACCAGAUUUUGACCCUCGCUGCACAAUAGAAUCACCUGGAAAGCUUUUCAGAAAUAACAAUGCCUAGGCCCCCGCCCAACCAAUUGAAUCAGAAUUUCUGGGGGGUGGAAGUUGAGCAUCCAUGUUUUCCAAGAGAUUUCUAGAUGAUUCUAAUAGGCAGCUGGCAUGAAGAACCAGUGCUCUCAAUGAACUGAAUACCAUGUUUCUUGAGAACCUGAAACAGGCGCCGCAUGCAUAAAACAAGCCCAGGGAACUGAGACUCACUCGGCUGACUCUAAACAGUGCUCUGCCACUAGCACAGGACUCCACCCUCAAGGUGGCGUCCCCGAAGGUCUCCCAGAAGGCCUCACCCCUUUCCCAGCGCCACCACCCAUACCUCCUCAGAGGAAGUCUCAGCACUGAAAAACGGCUUGUUGAAUAAGCAGAACCAAUUAUGUGGACAUGGAUCAUCUCUUUGUAGAUGUUAAUUAA
Molecule: long non-coding RNA, 682 nt
Filed under: Homo sapiens (human)
Lineage: Eukaryota; Metazoa; Chordata; Mammalia; Primates; Hominidae
Description: non-protein coding lnc-RNF113B-5:1
Source: RNAcentral